GAAACUUUCAGGAGAAAUAUUCCAGAAAUUCACAUUUGAUGUAGUCAGAAAUGUCUUCCAUAGGACCGAGGGAGGACAGAGGAAGCCUCCCCAACCCUGAUUCAUCUCCUCAGUGACCUUCCCAGCCUGUGAGCCUCUUAAUCUGGAUGCAUUUAUCUUCUUUCCAUCGAAGGAGCCUGAUCUCAGUCUCCUCAGAGCUCCUCCAGCAGGCUCUGGGUCUGCCCUAAGGAAAGGGCAUUUCUCCAGCUCUGUCUCUUCCUUUGCCAGUUGUGAUUCCAUUCUCCACAUCCUGCUCUGCUUGUCUUGUUCUCCAGGUAGGGUGAGCUCACAGUUGAUGAGGGUAUUAAAUCUACCUCCUGCCCCACCUCAAGCAGGCUGUAAGGAAGGGCCUCGCAGCUGACCAUCCCGCUUCCCAGGAUACGGGAAUGGUAGCCCACAAUCGCAGAUUUUCAGUGUUAAUCUGUUGAUUUACUGAUCCUACUCAAGCCCACAUUCUUGUUUGUCAUGUUCUGUCAUCUAAACUAAGAGAAUGAAAGAGACCUGCACUGAAAAUGGGGACAUUCAGCAUCUAGUUUGACUUGCCACAUAUCUGCUCUGGGACUUAGGACAAGAAACUUGACAGAGCACACAUUCUUCUCAUCUGAAACAUUGAAUUUCAGUAAAUUACCUGUAAUUUAUCAGAGAAAAGCAUUUUAUAAGUUCUAUUCAUAAGACACUUGCACAUCUACUCAUUAACUCAUCUAUCUUCGCCAUCAUUAACUCUUCCAAUUCCCACCAAACCCUUGGAGAAUAGCCCAGGUCCACCUUCAGUGACCUGCAUGCAGUCUGCAAAGGCCCCUGGGCAGGCACACUGGACUCUCCCUGUCAUUUGAGCCAUUUCACGCCUCUGCCUUUCCUAGUACACCUGUCCUCAGAGGAUGGGUCCCAGCAGCCAGAGGAGGUUCCAUUUCUGAUGCUUUUAUUGUGGAUUCAGCUUGGGCGGGGCUGGGAGAACACCCACCUACACUUCCUUGUUUCAGAUGUAGCUCUCUAGAUCUGGAAAGGCUUGUCAGACUCCUUCUUAGUACAGAAAACCCUCCUUUGGCACUACCUGGUGAGGAGAGACACUCCCUUCUCUUCUCCGCAGGAAGGACAGCUCAGAAUGAGACAGAAGGCUCAGGAAUGGCUCCCAGGCUGAAUCCACAAUACAUUCAGGCCCAAGGACAAUCUGCUGGGAGGUCAGUCUUCCUUUCUACACAGGCUUUCAAAUGAUUGGAUGAGGAACACCCACAUUAAGGAGGAAAAUCUGCUUUACUCAAACUCUACUGAUUUAAAUGUUUACCCCGUUAAAAAUAUCUACACAAAAGCAUCUAGAAUAACUGAACAAAUCUCUGGCUACUGUGACAUAAAUAUCACACACACACACAUCCGCAUACACACACACAUACACCCCUAGUGGACAGAAAAACUAAAGUUCAAAAUGUUUGUGAGUGAUUCAAAUGUCCUUUCCCAAGGACACUGUCCAAGCACUAGUAUUUGGGGCUAUUAGGUCCAGAAAGAGCCCUGGUCUUUCCCUCAUGAUCCGAU
Long non-coding RNA from Heterocephalus glaber (naked mole-rat), 1566 nucleotides. The record is from Ensembl. NCBI's taxonomy places the organism in Eukaryota, Metazoa, Chordata, Mammalia, Rodentia, Bathyergidae.